AUUUAUAUAGUUUAAAAAAAACAAUAUCUUUUCAAGAUAAAUUUAAAAAUUUAUUUUUUAUAAA
RNAcentral lists this transfer RNA (64 nucleotides) under Brachycentrus subnubilus. Its description in RNAcentral is "tRNA-Glu". The record is from RNAcentral. Lineage: Eukaryota; Metazoa; Arthropoda; Insecta; Trichoptera; Brachycentridae.